Long non-coding RNA from Strongylocentrotus purpuratus (purple sea urchin), 369 nucleotides. RefSeq lists it as uncharacterized. Lineage: Eukaryota; Metazoa; Echinodermata; Echinoidea; Camarodonta; Strongylocentrotidae. The record is from RefSeq and is a predicted model, not a curated record. The transcript has 2 exons.
UGGUAUGCAAGGAAUUAACUCAUCAACAUCAAUAUAAAUAUGAUGUCGUGGUCUAGUGGACAGGUCAUCGGACUGUGGAUCACAUCACAUGAUUUGCGGUUCGAAUUGAGUCCUCACGAGGCCCUCAUGUCCUUUGGCUGGACAUUAAUCUAACUUUGACACACAGGUGAGGUGAAUGGGUACCUUGCAGGAAUUAAUUCCUUGAAUGAUAGUGUGCUACUAAUGGCAGCCAUGCUAAAGCCAGGGUAAAAAUUGUGGUGCACUAGGAGUGUCAAGUCCAGCAGACAUGAGCAAGAACCUACUAUUAUUAUUAUUAUUUUUUACUAUCAGCCUCAAGCUACACUUUUCUCCUCACUUUACUUUUUUUUU